CCAUUUCCCAGAGAGGCCAGAGGCAGAGGGGUGCAGAAGAGAGAGCAGAGCCCCUUUGCCUGGGCACAUCUGGGCUCACUACAUGGGAAAGGGCCCCAGGACAAGGGAAGACGAGAAGAGACAGGCCAGGCCCAAGGAGGGAGAGGACCUGAGAUCGAAGAUAGGAGAGAGGAAGACAAGAAGGAGAAGCAGAAAUGAGAAGGUUGGAGAAAUCCGAAGAGGCAGCUAGGGAGAGUGGGAGGUGAAUGAGCAAACAGCACAGAAAAAGAAACAGCAGUAUAUGUGGAAGAAAGCAAGAAAAAUCAACUGGCCUGGAACCUAAGACUUGUCCAAAGAUGUCACAGAGAGUAAAAUGAGAAAAAUCCAGUAGCCCGUGCCCAGAGCAGUUCCUCGUACCCAG
Molecule: long non-coding RNA, 400 nt
Filed under: Homo sapiens (human)
Lineage: Eukaryota; Metazoa; Chordata; Mammalia; Primates; Hominidae
Description: non-protein coding lnc-HAAO-7:11
Source: RNAcentral